RNAcentral lists this ribosomal RNA (119 nucleotides) under Sphingobacteriales bacterium. Its description in RNAcentral is "partial 16S ribosomal RNA". It matches the Rfam family "Bacterial small subunit ribosomal RNA", at positions 1415 to 1533 of the family's 1533-position model. The record is from RNAcentral. Lineage: Bacteria; Pseudomonadati; Bacteroidota; Sphingobacteriia; Sphingobacteriales.
GUGUACCUAAAGUCGGUAACCGCAAGGAGCCGCCUAGGGUAAAACUAGUAACUGGGGCUAAGUCGUAACAAGGUAGCCGUACCGGAAGGUGCGGCUGGAAUACCUCCUUUUUAGAGCUU